GGCGUGAGAUGUUUUGGUUUGCACCCCUACGUGCAAUAUAAAUAGGGGUGCACGCCGAGGAGUCUGUGUGCAUUCAGAAUUCUUCCUUCUUUCUUACAAGAGGCUUUUCUUGUCCAAUUUUCUUUAUUCUUUCUCUCUAGCCUAGAUAAGGUCCUGAUAAAGGAUAAAAAGUUUUUCAAAAGGCUUAGAGAAUUAGAAUAAAAAUUAAGAAGACAAGAAGCAAGAAAGGAAGG
Molecule: long non-coding RNA, 233 nt
Filed under: Elaeis guineensis (African oil palm)
Lineage: Eukaryota; Viridiplantae; Streptophyta; Magnoliopsida; Arecales; Arecaceae
Description: long non-coding RNA (EGUI_LNC044532)
Source: RNAcentral